Long non-coding RNA from Eublepharis macularius, 749 nucleotides. RefSeq lists it as uncharacterized. NCBI's taxonomy places the organism in Eukaryota, Metazoa, Chordata, Lepidosauria, Squamata, Eublepharidae. The record is from RefSeq and is a predicted model, not a curated record. The transcript is spliced from 3 exons.
AGAUGGGUCCCACUCCUCUUAUCUCUCCCUUCAGCUGGCGGGUGGGGUCAGGAGCUCCAAGAGGCUGUGCAAGUACAGGAGGGAGCUCAGAGGUUGUUCGGCCUCAGGGCAGGUCAACAGCUAGAGAAGAAGGGAGCUGGCGGGGCGAGCGGCUGCCUCUUUGACCUCAUUGUCCUGCCUCUUGAAGGAUCGUCAAAACAGUGUUGGAAAGCACCAGUGAACCAUCUUGAGCAAUCCAAAGGCAGCAUCUCAAAGUUGUUUUGAAGAAACAAAUAGCGCAAAAGUCACCUGGCCAGCAUUUCAUGCUCCACGGCAGCUGCCAGAGGAGGAGGUACAGCCAGUAAAUGUGCAUGUUUGAUUAUUGCCUUCUGGCCCUCCAGCUUUCUAAAGAACAGGACGUCCUUCAGAGGAAGAAAUGCUUUGCACAUGCUCAAGGGCAUGGCCCUUCCGUUGAUUGUUUUUAAAUACUGCUUGUCAUCCAAAGGAAAGGUGCCAAGGUUCCCAGGCAGCUAUCUAACAGAAGAGGAUUGUUUUGGCUACCGAUGUUCCACCGAGAAUCAGCCUUGGGAAACUACUGCUCUCCCUACUUCAAAGGCGUUGUUUUGGGAACCGUGGGGGGGAGGAGGGGCCCGCUGGGAUCUGUUACUCUGUACCUUAUGCCUUGCCUAUCAUUGGUAACAAUGCAUAUGUACCAUCCUGAAUAUUGCAUUCAGGCUAGUGGACUAUAAUGAACUAUUUCUUCAAUAAAU